GUAGACAUUUGAGGUGUACUA
RNAcentral lists this non-coding RNA (21 nucleotides) under Arabidopsis thaliana (thale cress). Lineage: Eukaryota; Viridiplantae; Streptophyta; Magnoliopsida; Brassicales; Brassicaceae. The record is from RNAcentral.